This 425-nucleotide ribosomal RNA is filed under the name uncultured bacterium. RNAcentral describes it as "partial 16S ribosomal RNA". It matches the Rfam family "Bacterial small subunit ribosomal RNA", at positions 354 to 796 of the family's 1533-position model. The record is from RNAcentral.
GUGGGGAAUAUUGGACAAUGGGCGCAAGCCUGAUCCAGCCAUGCCGCGUGAGUAAUGAAGGCCCUAGGGUUGUAAAGCUCUUUCACCGGAGAAGAUAAUGACGGUAUCCGGAGAAGAAGCCCCGGCUAACUUCGUGCCAGCAGCCGCGGUAAUACGAAGGGGGCUAGCGUUGUUCGGAAUUACUGGGCGUAAAGCGCACGUAGGCGGACAUUUAAGUCAGGGGUGAAAUCCCGGGGCUCAACCCCGGAACUGCCUUUGAUACUGGGUGUCUGGAGUAUGGAAGAGGUAAGUGGAAUUCCGAGUGUAGAGGUGAAAUUCGUAGAUAUUCGGAGGAACACCAGUGGCGAAGGCGGCUUACUGGUCCAUUACUGACGCUGAGGUGCGAAAGCGUGGGGAGCAAACAGGAUUAGAAACCCGAGUAGUCC